UAAGUUUAGAAUUUUUGACACAACAGUAUUAUCUCUAACCAUAUAGAUGACAUUUACUUUAGCUAAUAUAUGAUCUAGAAGUGUUAAAACAAUGCCAUAUUUGCAAUAGUUGUAUGCAUGCAGAUAACAGUCUGAUGUACACAUUCACUUAUUUUCUUUUAGAAAUUACUGCUUAUAUCUGAUUUUUGCAUAACUUCCAAGCACAGUUAUUUAUUAUUAUACAAAGACGUUUAAGAUCAUAAAAUCAUAGCAUUUGGAAGUUAAAUUAUUUGUUUGAUGACCUAGGGUGUAGGCAAUUUUCUCUGCUUUUUGCCCCUGGGGCCUCAAAUUUCCUAAAUAAGUCUGCUGUUUCUAGCAAUAUGGAAUAUUUAGUACAUAUUCAGGAUAGGGCACACUAUUGUAAGUUUAAUUGAGAUAUUAUAGUGUUUCUAGCUUGGAUUGUUUAUGUCGUGGUGACAAAAAAGCAGAUUUAGGUGUUACGGUUUACUUUUGGGUUAUCGACUGGACAAAAACACCCCACCAAUAAUUUUGAAGAAGGAUCUAUGAAUUUCAAUGAUAGCGAAGAGUAAAUAUGAGUCCGUUGCUGUGUGUGUUACAUUUUAAUGUUGUGUCGUUGUUCUCCUCUAAUAUUUAAUGCGUUUCCCUCAGUUUUAGUUUGUUACCCCGAUUUUGUUUUUGUCCAUAGAAUUAUGAGUUUUGAACAGCGGUAUACUACUGUUGCCUUUAAAUAUAAGCACUUCUUAACAAUUUAACUUACAAAUAUGCAUGUAUUAUGAUUUUUUUUGGCAUUCAGGGCUUUAAGUAAACUAUGUAUACUGUACACUGUGAAUUGAUGCUGUAGUUAUCAUAGUCAAGGCCAAGGAUUUUCUCAAUCUUCAUGAAAUAUUUAUAAAACUUUAUAUUUUAGUCAAUUUCAUUAAAAUCUGUGAGACAAACCAAAUGUGGUUAAAUUCUGUAUGUUCUCUUUUUUCCCCCCAAUAUAGGUUGCAUUUCUGUAAAUACUGACAAUGCAAUUUCCCAUAGGAACUCUUUUAUGGAUAAAACUGUACCACUUUUUUUAUGAAGUUUUGAAAAAAUCCUAUCCUAGAAUGGAAAGUUCAUAUGCACUUCUAUUUUUUCAAAGGUAAAAAAAUAGGGCUGUGCGGCAUAUUUUUAAUGUGUAUAUGCCCCGAACUUUUAAGAGUUUAAACUAACACUAAUUUUUCUUAACUACCCCUACCUUAUCUGUAGGAUUACCACAUAUUUCAAUAUAAACAAGCAUUCUGAGAGUAUUGCAUGGCAAUACAUAGUCCCCUACCGGUUAAGAAUUCAUUUUACUGGAACAAAAUGCUAACUUGAUCUAUAUCUUGUCAUGGUGUAAACAAUUUAACAAAUAUAAAGUCAAUAUAUUCAAGCAUGACGAAAAAAAGUGUGAAAAACUGAUUAUCACAAGGACCAUAACUCUGCACAAAAUCAUCAGACCCGAACAAAAUUCGAACUUG
RNAcentral lists this long non-coding RNA (1481 nucleotides) under Mytilus galloprovincialis (Mediterranean mussel). Lineage: Eukaryota; Metazoa; Mollusca; Bivalvia; Mytilida; Mytilidae. The record is from RNAcentral.